UACGUAGGGUGCGAGCGUUGUCCGGAAUUACUGGGCGUAAAGAGCUCGUAGGCGGUUUGUCGCGUCGUCCGUGAAAACUUGGGGCUCAACCCCAAGCUUGCGGGCGAUACGGGCAGACUUGAGUACUGCAGGGGAGACUGGAAUUCCUGGUGUAGCGGUGAAAUGCGCAGAUAUCAGGAGGAACACCGGUGGCGAAGGCGGGUCUCUGGGCAGUAACUGACACUGAGGUGCGAAAGCGUGGGGAGCAAACAGG
This 253-nucleotide ribosomal RNA is filed under the name uncultured bacterium. Its description in RNAcentral is "partial 16S ribosomal RNA". It matches the Rfam family "Bacterial small subunit ribosomal RNA", at positions 524 to 776 of the family's 1533-position model. The record is from RNAcentral.